UGUGUAGGUGGCGCCGUAAGUCGGGUGUGAAAUUUCGGAGCUUAACUCCGAAACUGCAUUCGAUACUGCGGUGCUUGAGGACUGGAGAGGAGACUGGAAUUCAUGGUGUAGCAGUGAAAUGCGUAGAGAUCAUGAGGAAGACCAGUGGCGAAGGCGGGUCUCUGGACAGUUCCUGACACUGAGACACAGGCCAGGGAGCAAACG
Molecule: ribosomal RNA, 204 nt
Filed under: uncultured bacterium
Lineage: Bacteria
Description: partial 16S ribosomal RNA
Rfam family: Bacterial small subunit ribosomal RNA
Source: RNAcentral